This 480-nucleotide ribosomal RNA is filed under the name Bacillus cereus. Its description in RNAcentral is "bacterial SSU rRNA". It matches the Rfam family "Bacterial small subunit ribosomal RNA", at positions 15 to 474 of the family's 1533-position model. The record is from RNAcentral. Lineage: Bacteria; Bacillati; Bacillota; Bacilli; Caryophanales; Bacillaceae.
GAUCCUGGCUCAGGAUGAACGCUGGCGGCGUGCCUAAUACAUGCAAGUCGAGCGAAUGGAUUAAGAGCUUGCUCUUAUGAAGUUAGCGGCGGACGGGUGAGUAACACGUGGGUAACCUGCCCAUAAGACUGGGAUAACUCCGGGAAACCGGGGCUAAUACCGGAUAACAUUUUGAACCGCAUGGUUCGAAAUUGAAAGGCGGCUUCGGCUGUCACUUAUGGAUGGACCCGCGUCGCAUUAGCUAGUUGGUGAGGUAACGGCUCACCAAGGCAACGAUGCGUAGCCGACCUGAGAGGGUGAUCGGCCACACUGGGACUGAGACACGGCCCAGACUCCUACGGGAGGCAGCAGUAGGGAAUCUUCCGCAAUGGACGAAAGUCUGACGGAGCAACGCCGCGUGAGUGAUGAAGGCUUUCGGGUCGUAAAACUCUGUUGUUAGGGAAGAACAAGUACAUAGUUGAAUAAGCUGGCACCUCGACG